UUCUCAGAUGGGGCUAGUGAACAAGAUUAAAACAUACUGACUCAGUCUAGUCGGGCUCACCACAACCUACAGCUCAGGUUCUGCAGCAGUGCUGCUGACUCCAACUGAGGAAAGAGCCAGACAGUGGAAGGAGAGUGGGGUCUGGGCAUCUCUGCUCAGAUUGCUGCUUUGCAACCUGGCCCUGGAUAAGCAGUAGGAAAUAGAUGAAGGGAUGGAUUUACUUCUUAACUGUCCCAGAAUCUCCCAGUGCAGCCUUGAUUUUAAAAGCAGAGCCAGAAACAGAAUCAAUGCAGAUAUCUAAUUCCACUUAUUAUAGACUCUUUAGUCUAAUGACAAGUGUCACUCAUGCAGUAAUAAAGGUCUGCAGCUCAGCAUUUUAUCAGCAUAUUAGUAUUACUACAUUUAGGAAGCAAAAUAACUGACACCUGAUUUAAAGAUCUCGUUGGGGAAAAGGUUUUUUAGUCUUCAUAAUUAAUAAGCAGAAAUCCCAUGCAGUAUUUUAUGGUGGCCAAUCAGCAAUCCAGAACCUGAAUAUUUCCAGUUAACUAUCAACAAAACAGCUUUGUAGGCCUCGUGUUUCUUACAUCAUUGAGACAUGACUUUAAAAGAGUUACUUUACUUGCACAUUAAUGCAUGCUGUUUAAUGCUGCUGUUUAAUGCUCACCUGGUUAACGGUUUAUAAAUCUGUUGCAGCAUGUGCGGACAUCGUGUAAUUACCAAUCCUGAUCUACAUUUCUACACCGCCACAAAGUAUGCUGUAACCGCCCUGACAGAGGGCCUGCGGCAGGCGCUGCGUGCAGAAAACAGCCAUAUCCGAGCCACAGUAAGGCUUUAAAAACACUGUAGGCAGCUCCAAAAGUCACUUUAAAACCAACAUUACUGUGAUGAGACCCUCACACACAGUAUCCACUCUUUUUUGCAGUGUAUUUCUCCUGGUUUGGUGGAGACAGAAUUUUUGUCACGGUUCUACAAAAACAAUCCUAAUAAAGCAGCUGGUGCAUACUCUGCAUACAAGUCUCUGGAAGUAACAGAUGUUGCCAAUGCUGUUACGUACGUGCUCAGUGCCCCUCCUCAUGUUCAGGUGAUUUUUCUCUUAUUUUUAUGCCUUACUCUUUUUCUGUAUAAAUAUCAUUUUAUAUUAAAACACUGUUCUCCCUUCAGAUCGGAGAUGUUCGGAUGCAAGGUACGGAGCAGGUUUAGAGUUGAACCACAUGACCUCCCUGAAAUUAUGCACUUCUUCACUACAUUUAUGGGAAUGAUGAUUUAUGAUCUGUUCACAAAACAGUUUUGUUGUUGAUGUUUGUACUGAAAUUUUCUACUAAUAUAUAAAAUAAAAUGAGAGAAAACUG
This is a long non-coding RNA of Astatotilapia calliptera (eastern happy), 1349 nucleotides long. The record is from Ensembl. Lineage: Eukaryota; Metazoa; Chordata; Actinopteri; Cichliformes; Cichlidae.